CCUCCUUCCCUGAGUGCUGUCCCAUACUGUUGGCCUGGUCUGCUAGAACUAUUGAAAGGUUUUUGAGGGAAAAAUGACCAACAGUGGAUGAGGAUAUGUCUGGGAUUAUUGGAGAGAUCUUGGCCAGUGGGACACAGUGAGUUCACCAAAGUGUCCUGAGAGAGCUGGGCGAUGUCCUCCAAGGCCAUUCUCUGUCAACUUUGAAAGCUAAACUGAAUACUCUUGAACCAGAACCACCUAAAUUACUUAUGGAGAGGUUAGUCAGAUACUAAAGGAAUAACAGUUACUAGUACGGAAUUAAUGUGGAUCACAAUUGCCAGUCUCUUCAGCCAACAGAUUAGUCAACCAGUAGAAUAAUAAAACUGUAUGAUUCAAAUGAU
This is a long non-coding RNA of Numida meleagris (helmeted guineafowl), 380 nucleotides long. RefSeq lists it as uncharacterized. The transcript has 3 exons. NCBI's taxonomy places the organism in Eukaryota, Metazoa, Chordata, Aves, Galliformes, Numididae. The record is from RefSeq and is a predicted model, not a curated record.